This 253-nucleotide ribosomal RNA is filed under the name uncultured bacterium. RNAcentral describes it as "partial 16S ribosomal RNA". It matches the Rfam family "Bacterial small subunit ribosomal RNA", at positions 524 to 776 of the family's 1533-position model. The record is from RNAcentral.
UACGUAGGGGGCAAGCGUUGUCCGGAUUUAUUGGGCGUAAAGCGCGUGUAGGCGGCCACGCAGGUCCGCUGUGAAAACUCGAGGCUCAACCUCGAGCUGUCGGUGGAAACCGCGUGGCUAGAGUCCGGAAGAGGGGACUGGAAUUCCCGGUGUAGCGGUGGAAUGCGCAGAUAUCGGGAGGAACACCCGUGGCGAAAGCGGCACCCUGGCCGAGUUCUGACGCUGAAGCGCGAAAGCGUGGGGAGCGGACGGG